Molecule: ribosomal RNA, 253 nt
Filed under: uncultured bacterium
Lineage: Bacteria
Description: partial 16S ribosomal RNA
Rfam family: Bacterial small subunit ribosomal RNA
Source: RNAcentral
UACGUAGGGGGCAAGCGUUGUCCGGAUUUAUUGGGCGUAAAGAGCGUGUAGGCGGCCAUGUAGGUCCGUUGUGAAAACUCGAGGCUCAACCUCGAGACGCCGAUGGAAACCAUCUGGCUAGAGUCCGGAAGAGGAGAAUGGAAUUCCCGGUGUAGCGGUGAAAUGCGCAGAUAUCGGGAAGAACACCCGUGGCGAAGGCGGUUCUCUGGGACGGUACUGACGCUGAGACGCGAAAGCGUGGGGAGCGAACAGG